CACGUAGGUGGCAUGGUAAGUCAAAGGUGAAAGCCCUCGGCUCAACCGAGGAAUUGCCUUUGAAACUGCUUUGCUUGAGUCCGGGAGGAGGGAGCGGAAUUCCCAGUGUAGCGGUGAAAUGCGUAGAUACUGGGAGGAACACCGGUGGCGAAGGCGGCUCCCUGGACCGGUACUCGACACUGAGGUGCGAAAGCGUGGGUAGCAAACA
Molecule: ribosomal RNA, 208 nt
Filed under: uncultured bacterium
Lineage: Bacteria
Description: partial 16S ribosomal RNA
Rfam family: Bacterial small subunit ribosomal RNA
Source: RNAcentral